CAAUAGCGUAUAUUAAAGUUGUUGCGGUAAAAAAGCUCGUAGUUGGAUUUCUGUUGAGAGCGACCGGUCCAUACCAUGUAUGCGUAUCUGGCUUGCUCUCGGCAUCCUCUCGAUAGACGUUACUGCGCUUGAUUGCGUGGUGCGGAUCUCGGGACUUUUACUUUGAGGAAAUUAGAGUGUUCACGGCAGGCUUUCGCCAGAAUACAUUAGCAUGGAAUAAUACUAUAGGAUCUCGGUUCUAUUUUGUUGGUUUCUAGAAUUGAGAUAAUGAUUAAUAGGGACAAUUGGGGGCAUUCGUAUCAACACGUCAGAGGUGGAAUUCUUGGAUUGUGUUGCGACGAACUACUGCGAAAGCAUUUGCCAAGGAUGUUUUCAUUGA
This 379-nucleotide ribosomal RNA is filed under the name uncultured eukaryote. Its description in RNAcentral is "partial 18S ribosomal RNA". It matches the Rfam family "Eukaryotic small subunit ribosomal RNA", at positions 592 to 976 of the family's 1831-position model. The record is from RNAcentral.